Molecule: long non-coding RNA, 1239 nt
Organism: Chinchilla lanigera (long-tailed chinchilla)
Lineage: Eukaryota; Metazoa; Chordata; Mammalia; Rodentia; Chinchillidae
Exons: 3
Source: RefSeq, a predicted model, not a curated record
CAGCAUUUCCUGCCCCCUUCCGCAUCUGGGAGUUGGUACGGUAGCAGUUAAACUAAAACCCCCUGCACUGCUGCCUACGGCAUCUAUUGAAGUAUGCACAUUCAUUUUAUAUUUAUUGAGUUCAUUAAUUCUAAUAUUUUUCUGUUGUGUUGUGGGGUUGCCAGGUAGCCAAUGCUAUAAAAUGCAAAUGAUGACAUCACUGCCUUCUGAUGUAUAAUGUUUGCUGUUCUGUGCUUUUUUAUCAUAUUGUCUUGGACUCUCCAGACACUGGUGGAAGGCGACGACGCAGACACCCGUCUUGUCCCUCGCUCGAGCUGGACUUGCCUGCAGUGGCCCGCCCCUGAAUGUCACUAACCGCCACGCUGACAUCUGAUGCUGACAUUCCUCAUCAUUUCCACGUGAGGUCUGGCUGGCUCUCCUUAGCAAGCUUUUCAGAAUCGAGGCUGCACCAAUAUGGACCCUGCCACCGCAGACGAGCAGCAAGCCAAGAAAGAAACAAAGCAGAAACCAUCUUCCACUUGGUCAGACAAACUUCAAAACUCAGAACCUCUGCCAGUUGUAGGGCUGCAGGACUGAAUCCCUGCUUUGCUCCUUCAAGCCAGAGACAACAUGAGGCUGUGCAGAGCACUAACUGUGGGUCUCACUGAGUCACCAAGUUCCCCAGCUGGGCUCAAACUUGUAUUCCUCCUGCCUCCGCCUUCUGGAGUGGUGGGAUUGCAGGCAUUCUCCACCACGCUGGGUCUCAACUCGAGCCCCUUGUGUAAUACCAAAGGAAGCAGGCACAGCAGAAAGGCAUACCUCAGAACCAAGCCUCUCCAGACCGGUGAAUCGGCUAGUACCUCGGUCUUGGACUCCUCAGUUUCUAGCUAUGUGAGAAAAUAAUUUCUUCAUAAGUUACCCAGUCAUGAGCACUACAAACAAGGAAUCAAAGCACUUACAAGAGUAGAGCACUGGAGCACCACCGCGUUUACACAGUUUGAAUGAACUGCUUUGGACCACGCGCCAACCAAAUGUUUGACUAGCAAAUGUCUGUACGAGUGCUUGAAUUUUGCCUGAAUCCUGCUUUUAUUAUUACCUCACAGCUGCUUUGUGAGACAGCCACUAACCAUAAUCUCAAACCUCACUGAUGGCUACUACCAAUCUCCAUAAAGAAUCUAAAGGCUUUGCACGUCUAACUUGGCUCUGUAACAUAUACCCUGCUAGCCAGGCCCAAUCAGAAGAUAUGAAAGAAAAGUUAGG